Long non-coding RNA from Homo sapiens (human), 912 nucleotides. RefSeq lists it as uncharacterized. The transcript has 2 exons. Lineage: Eukaryota; Metazoa; Chordata; Mammalia; Primates; Hominidae. The record is from RefSeq and is a predicted model, not a curated record.
GGAUAUUGUGGCUGGAGACAUGAGCAAGAAAAGCCUCUGGGAGCAGAAGGGAGGCUCCAAGACCUCAUCAACAAUUAAGAGCCAGCUCAAUCACUUCUCCAGAAAGACUUACUGAGUCCUCUGCACUGAACAGGUGUCCUGUGCUCCAGGAGAGCCCUGGGCUGGCUCCUAGUGUAGCCAUUAUGACCCUGGAAUGCACCAUCUUUCACAUCACUGCCUGGCCUUCUAGAAUCUCAGCUUCUUAAAUCAAGAAAUUGUGUCUUGUUCAUGUCUGAAUUCCCCAAGUGAACACAGUGAGUGGGUGCUUGACAAAUCUUUGUUGGUAAUGAGCAAAAAAGGGGAUUCUGUGCCCAAUACCAUGAAAUCAAUGCACAGAAGAUUCAAUCAAUCAAGAAAGGUGCACAGACGCUGGCCACACACACUGACAUUUGUUUUCAGAUGUUCCAGUCCCCCUGACUUCCACCAACCCAUUCAUUCAUUCCACAAGCAUUUUUGCUGGGGUGGAAGCAGGGCCAUACAGGGUGUGUAAGUAACAGAUAGGGUGGGUUUGUAUAAUGAGUAUAAAAAACUUCUAGCAGAAGAUGACAAAGUAUAUCAAGAAAGGGCUCUCUUCGAAAUCACACCACUGCACUCCAGCCUGGGUAACAGAGGGAGAUUCCAUCUAAAAAAAAAAAAAAAAAAAAAAAAAAAAACAGGGAUGGGGGCAAGGGAGCUCUUUUUUUCCAGUUAGCACAAGAUUGCCAUUUCAGCUAGGGAUUCUGCUGCAACUAUCUCCCAGACCCUAUUCUAGGGCCCGGGGAUAGAAACAGAAUCAAAAACAUAUUCCUUGUCUUUUUUGGGCUUAUAUUAUUGAGGAGAGAGAAAUAAACAAUUUCAAAAUAAACAAUGUCAUACAGUGCUAAGUGCUAUAAA